CCCCUAGUCCCACUAGUCUAUCCUCCCAGCCUCUCAGACUGAAUCCCCUAGUCCCACUAGACUAUCCUUCCAGCCUCUCAGACUGAAUCUCCUAGUCCCACUAGACUAUCCUUCCAGCCUCUCAGACUGAAUCUCCUAGUCCCACUAGACUAUCCUUUCAGCCUCUCAGACUGAAUCUUCUAGUCCCACUAGACUAUCCUUCCAGCCUCCCAGACUGAACCUCCUAGUCCCACUAGACUGCCCUUCCAGUCCUCCCAGACUGAAUCUCCUAGUCCCACUAGACUAUCCUUCCAGCCUCCCAGACUGAACCUCCUAGUCCCACUAGACUGCCCUUCCAGUCCUCCCAGACUGAAUCUCCUAGUCCCACUAGACUAUCCUUCCAGCCUCUCAGACUGAAUCUCCUAGUCCCACUAGACUAUCCUUCCAGCCUCUCAGACUGAAUCUCCUAGUCCCACUAGACUAUCCUCCCAGCCUCUCAGAC
RNAcentral lists this long non-coding RNA (481 nucleotides) under Helianthus annuus (common sunflower). RNAcentral describes it as "hypothetical non coding rna". Lineage: Eukaryota; Viridiplantae; Streptophyta; Magnoliopsida; Asterales; Asteraceae. The record is from RNAcentral.